RNAcentral lists this ribosomal RNA (497 nucleotides) under uncultured bacterium. RNAcentral describes it as "partial 16S ribosomal RNA". It matches the Rfam family "Bacterial small subunit ribosomal RNA", at positions 28 to 507 of the family's 1533-position model. The record is from RNAcentral.
GAUGAACGCUGGCGGUGUGCCUAACACAUGCAAGUCGAGCGGAAGGACGGGAAGCGCGUGCCCUUGCUGUUAGCGGCGGACGGGUGAGUAACACGUGGAUCACCUACCAAUAAGACGGGGAUAAUUACGGAAAACCGGUGACAAUACCAGAUAAUACUAUGUACCGCAGGGUUCAAAAGAUAAAGACAGCCUUGCCGAUUGAAAGAGACGGUGCCGUGUUGCAUUAGCUAGUUGGUAAGGUAACGGCUCACCAAGGCAACGAUGCGUAGCCGAUCUGAGAGGAUGAUCAGCCACACUGGAACUGAGACACGGUCCAGACUCCUACGGGAGGCAGCAGUAGGGAAUCUUGCACAAUGGGCGCAAGCCUGACGCAGCCACGCCGCGUGGGUGAUGAAGGUCUUCGGGUCGUAAAGCUCUUUUGUUGGGAAAGAACAGCUGUAUGAUAAUCUGUGGCCAUCUUGACGGUACCUAAUGAGUAAGCCCCGGCUAACUACGUG